UAGCUUGUCCACACAAGUACUUGACCAAAGCUCUUUGAUCAACUCAACAAUUCCUCCUUGAACUUCAAGUAUGGCAACCAAGAAGAAAGGAGGAAGAGCAUAUUGUUUAUCAAUUUGUUUCUAAUUGAAAGUAGGGAGAAACAAUUUCUCAAAGCUUGAUUCAAGAGUGACAACUUCUAAUGUCUCUUGACUUCAAGCUAUUCAAGGAUGAAGAUGAAG
Molecule: unclassified non-coding RNA, 219 nt
Filed under: Hevea brasiliensis (rubber tree)
Lineage: Eukaryota; Viridiplantae; Streptophyta; Magnoliopsida; Malpighiales; Euphorbiaceae
Source: RNAcentral